This 359-nucleotide long non-coding RNA is filed under the name Brassica rapa (field mustard). RNAcentral describes it as "long non-coding RNA (BRAP_LNC006276)". The record is from RNAcentral. Lineage: Eukaryota; Viridiplantae; Streptophyta; Magnoliopsida; Brassicales; Brassicaceae.
UCUUAUUGAUUUAUAUUAUAAGUUCCAAAAGACUAUUUAUCUCUCGACGUUGUUAUCCUCGUCAGUCCUAACUGUUUAGACAAACAUUUUUAGCUGAACUUAUCGAUUUACCUUAGACACUGCCUUUUGCGUUUGCAUGUUGUUUAGCAAAAACGGAUAUUUACCUUAAUAGUGUGUUUUUCUUCAAUUUUUUUUUUUUUACUUUUUUCGUGUUUGAUUUGCUUGUUCACAACAGUACCAAUACUAUCACGUGUUAUGCUAUGUUAUUUCAUACUUAUUUUAUAAAUUAACCAAAUCUCGUACCACUAGCUACAACAUACUUGCAAGAUCUAAAUAUAGAUGCGCAUAUUAAGUUUCUC